This is a non-coding RNA of Pelobates cultripes (western spadefoot toad), 260 nucleotides long. The record is from the annotation of a GenBank genome assembly. Lineage: Eukaryota; Metazoa; Chordata; Amphibia; Anura; Pelobatidae.
CAAACACCGCUGCCUGUUUUCAUGCGAACAAGAUGGACGUCCAUAGGAAUUGCGGCCACCCAGACGAACACUUUCGGUGGAAAUUGCUACAACGUAGCAACUAGACUUAAGCUCCAGGGUGAUCUCUGGUUCGUGCAACAGUUUGAUUCCCAAACCAAAUAUAAAAUCCCACGAACCAAGUCUGUUCAUAUAGUUUUUUGGUAAGAGGCUGGCCAGCAGACCCCUCCAAGAACACGUGACGAGGCUCAGUUCGUCACAAC